CCUACGGGAGGCAGCAGUGAGGAAUAUUGGUCAAUGGACGGAAGUCUGAACCAGCCAUGCCGCGUGCAGGAAGACGGCUCUAUGAGUUGUAAACUGCUUUUGUACAAGGGUAAACCUGAAUACGUGUAUUCAGCUGAAAGUACUGUACGAAUAAGGAUCGGCUAACUCCGUGCCAGCAGCCGCGGUAAUACGGAGGAUCCAAGCGUUAUCCGGAUUUAUUGGGUUUAAAGGGUGCGUAGGCGGAUUGAUAAGUGAGAGGUGAAAGGCCCGAGCUUAACUCGGGAACUGCCUCUAAUACUGUUGAUCUAGAGAGUAGAUGCGGUAGGCGGAAUGUAUGGUGUAGCGGUGAAAUGCUUAGAGAUCAUACAGAACACCGAUUGCGAAGGCAGCUUACCAAUCUAUAUCUGACGUUGAGGCACGAAAGCGUGGGGAGCAAACAGGAUUAGAUACCCUUGUAGUC
Molecule: ribosomal RNA, 460 nt
Filed under: uncultured bacterium
Lineage: Bacteria
Description: partial 16S ribosomal RNA
Rfam family: Bacterial small subunit ribosomal RNA
Source: RNAcentral